This 462-nucleotide ribosomal RNA is filed under the name uncultured soil bacterium. Its description in RNAcentral is "bacterial SSU rRNA". It matches the Rfam family "Bacterial small subunit ribosomal RNA", at positions 26 to 480 of the family's 1533-position model. The record is from RNAcentral.
AGAUUGAACGCUGGCGGUAUGCUUAACACAUGCAAGUCGAACGGCAGCACAGGGUAGCUUGCUAUCCGGGUGGCGAGUGGCGGACGGGUGAGUAAUGCGUAGGAAUCUACCUUUUUGUGGGGGGAUAACCCGGGGAAACUCGGGCUAAUACCGCAUACGCCCUACGGGGGAAAGCGGGGGACCUUUGGGCCUCGCGCAAAAAGAUGAGCCUGCGUCCUAUCAGGUAGUUGGUGAGGUAAUGGCUCACCAAGCCGACGACGGGUAGCUGGUCUGAGAGGACGACCAGCCACACUGGGACUGAGACACGGCCCAGACUCCUACGGGAGGCAGCAGUGGGAAUAUGGACAAUGGGGGCAACCUGAUCCAGCAAUACCGCGUGUGUGAAGAAGGCCUUGGUUGUAAAGCACUUUAGCAGGAAAGAAUGAACUGUGCGUUAAUACCGCGUCGGUUUGUACGUUACUU